This 342-nucleotide long non-coding RNA is filed under the name Astyanax mexicanus (Mexican tetra). RNAcentral describes it as "lncRNA (ENSAMXG00005009647.1)". The record is from RNAcentral. Lineage: Eukaryota; Metazoa; Chordata; Actinopteri; Characiformes; Acestrorhamphidae.
GUAUAUAUACAGCUAAACUGGUGUAGGCUGAAUGGGUGGAGCUAAACUGCAGUAUAUUGUUUUAUUUAGUUCCUUUAGCUGAUUGGUGGAAGCAGUAUGCAGUCUGGGCAGCUGUUGGAUUGAUUCCUGCUCUGGCUCUCUCUCUUCUUACUGCUGUUCUGUGCGUUCAGAGGAAGAGGAGAGCAGAGAGAGGUGCUGAUGUUCAGACUUCAAAGCCUGGAGACGACACGUACACAGCUCUAAACCUCGCCACCACCUCGUCCUCUGAGUACGACACUCUGACAGUAAGUCUGCAGUGUGUGUGUUUGUGUGUGUGUGUGUGUGUGUUGUUAGAAUGUGAAG